AAAUAAAACAAAAACAAAACAGAAAACGAUUGCCUUCUAUAAUUCAGAUAACAUAGUAUUUAAAAACUAAUUUGAUACGAAUACAGAGUGUCAUAAACACAUAUACAAACACGAUUGUCAUGGUAACAGUCAACCACAAUAGGUAUUUACUCAAUCGUAAUCAACCCAUAUUAACCCUUAUGAAAUAUUAUUUUAAUUCUGUAGUACCAAGAAGAGGUGGUAUGAUUGCCAAUAUGACGAGUAUCCACAAAAUGCAAAGUAAUAGAAGUGCACAACUACUGGGCAUCGUACGAACAUAAUGAAGAGUAGGCUAAAAUGGUGUUUGGAUGAAUAAAUGUCUAUCAAAUCAUAAACGAGGAAAACCAAUUUGUCUGACUGACACUAAAACAAUAAAAGAAAACCAGUAUUAUGGCAGACAUUUACCGACCAUUGAUUAAUAUUUCCAUUGGUUUUCCACCUAUCAGUAAAUCGUUCGAAAUUAAAAGGGAGAGGGGUUAUGAUCGCCAAAAGCUAAUUGAACACUGCUUCCUGUACAUUUCCUGGUCCAGGUGAGGAACUUGGUCAUUGGUUACCUUUCUUCAUGUUUGAUUGUUUAAUUUCUGAAUAUUCCAUAUGAAGCUUUUCUUUUUUAUAGUGGAACUUUGAUUUUAAGAAUAACUGUUAAACUCUAUGUCAUGUUUCUUUUUAGAACUGCUAUUUCGGGCAUAGCAUAUCGUGUAUACACGUCCGUGUGAUAAAUAUUAUAUGGUGGCAUUAAACUGUCUUCUUGGGUAUGCUAUUUUUAGAAUGCUGUCUUAAUGAAAUAUACUAUACAAUGC
Molecule: long non-coding RNA, 818 nt
Filed under: Mytilus galloprovincialis (Mediterranean mussel)
Lineage: Eukaryota; Metazoa; Mollusca; Bivalvia; Mytilida; Mytilidae
Source: RNAcentral